ACGACAAUUUUACAAAUCAACAAAACAUCAACUAUUUGAAAGUUUUACAUACCUUGUAUGUUUCUAAUUCAUACUCAUGUCAGUCUAACAUCCUUGGAACAGAAACAUUCAUAUGAGUUUUCCAUUGAAUUUCAUUCAGAACUUCGAGGCACGCUCGGGCGUGAAGACUACCAAGAAUAUACCUUGAAAGUUCAGUUGCUGAUAUGCCCAACGCGGCAUUUCUGGUAAAGACUACUAACAAUUCAGAUAAGUAUUUUCAUUGAGCCAAAAAGAAUUGCCGAUGCUUUUAUGGAUUCCAUCCAAAUGCCCACAACUGCCUGCUAUAACCCCAUAUGUCUGAAGACCUACGUAUGACUCACCCAACCAGACAAGGCACUCCUGCGUGUAAAAUUACCAGUUACAUCACCCAUUGACAUCAGAGUUCCAUGCAAUAGGUCUGGAAGCUAGGCCCAAGCUGUAUAUAAAACUAAAAAAGGGAUCAAUACAAUUUACCUGUAAAGUAAUACGUGAUAGAAGCAUUAGAAUUGAAGAGAGCAUCCAACUAGAGAGCCAGGAGGUGUAAAAUGACUAAAUGAUUGCCUUUUUUUAGGGGUGAGGAUGAGGGUGAGGGUGAGGGUGGGGGUGUCCAUGGAGAAGUCAAUUAACUCAAUAGGCCAAGGUAUACAUCACCAAGUAACAAGUUACAUCAG
RNAcentral lists this long non-coding RNA (689 nucleotides) under Olea europaea (common olive). Its description in RNAcentral is "long non-coding RNA (OEUR_LNC010599)". Lineage: Eukaryota; Viridiplantae; Streptophyta; Magnoliopsida; Lamiales; Oleaceae. The record is from RNAcentral.